RNAcentral lists this unclassified non-coding RNA (317 nucleotides) under fungal sp. Its description in RNAcentral is "partial internal transcribed spacer region". The stretch from base 1 to 46 matches the Rfam family "Eukaryotic small subunit ribosomal RNA", at positions 1786 to 1831 of the family's 1831-position model. Lineage: Eukaryota; Fungi. The record is from RNAcentral.
AAGUCGUAACAAGGUUUCCGUAGGUGAACCUGCGGAAGGAUCAUUAGUGAAAAAUUUGUGGACCCUCAUGCAAUCAAACAUGACGGGGACCCAACCUUCUCACUACACCGGAGAGGGGCUGUCUUAGGAUGGCCUUGAUCCGAGGGUACUCCAAUCUGUUGAAGGGCCUUGGAUGGGUAACGUCCGAGGCCCUGGAUAGGAUGCCCGCUAAGCUGGGAGCUCUGCCCUCGGCGCUUUCUUUAGAAUCAACAGUUUUGUAUGUCUAUGUAUUUGUUUUUAAACCAAUACAACUUUCAGCAACGGAUCUCUUGGCUCUC